This 644-nucleotide ribosomal RNA is filed under the name uncultured marine eukaryote. RNAcentral describes it as "SSU rRNA". It matches the Rfam family "Eukaryotic small subunit ribosomal RNA", at positions 616 to 1258 of the family's 1831-position model. The record is from RNAcentral.
CAGUUAAAAAGCUCGUAGUUGGAUUUCUGUGGGGACGGAGCGGCCGGCCGCACAUCGCGGUUCGAGCUAGCGCUUUCCCUACAUCCUGCCGCGAACCGUGCUACCAUUAGUUUGGUGGCGCUGGGGAUCGGCUCGAUUACUUUGAGAAAAAUAGAGUGUUCAAAGCAGGCCACACGCCUUGAAUAAGUUAGCAUGGAAUAAUAACUAAGGACUUCGGUUCUAUUUUGUUGGUGUUCGGGACUGAAGUAAUGAUUGAUAGGGACAGUUGGGGCGGUCAGUAUUCCAAAGCGAGAGGUGAAAUUCUUAGACCUUCGGAAGACUAACAGCUGCGAAAGCGUUCCGCAAGGAUGUUCCCUUUGAUCAAGAACGAAAGUUGGGGGAUCGAAGACGAUCAGAUACCGUCGUAGUCUCAACUACAAACUAUACCAGCUAGGGAUCGGCCAACGUUAUUUAAUACCGACUUGGUCGGCACCUUAUGAGAAAUCAAAGCAUCUGGGUUCCGGGGGGAGUAUGGUCGCAAGGCUGAAACUUAAAGGAAUUGACGGAAGGGCACCACCAGCCGUGGAGCCUGUGGCUUAAUUUGACUCAACACGGGAAAACUUACCAGGUCCAGACAUAGUAAGGAUUGACAGAUUGAUAGCUCU